RNAcentral lists this ribosomal RNA (1238 nucleotides) under metagenome. Its description in RNAcentral is "bacterial SSU rRNA". It matches the Rfam family "Bacterial small subunit ribosomal RNA", at positions 211 to 1435 of the family's 1533-position model. The record is from RNAcentral.
UGUAUCGUCUGGAGAUGAGCCUGCGGUCCAUUAGCUUGUUGGUAGGGUAAAGGCCUACCAAGGCGACGAUGGAUAGCCGGCCUGAGAGGGUGAUCGGCCACACUGGGACUGAGACACGGCCCAGACUCCUACGGGAGGCAGCAGCUAAGAAUCUUCCGCAAUGGGCGAAAGCCUGACGGAGCGACGCCGCGUGAACGAGGAAGGCCGAAAGGUUGUAAAGUUCUUUUCUUAGGGAAGAAUAAUGCAAGGAGUGGAAAGCUUUGCAGAUGACAUUAACUGAGGAAUAAGCCCCGGCCAAUUACGUGCCAGCAGCCUCGGUAAUACGUAUGGGGCGAGCGUUGUUCGGAAUUAUUGGGCGUAAAGGGCGUGUAGGCGGUUUUAUAAGCCUGGUGUGAAAUACCACAGCUCAACUGUGGAGACGCGCUGGGAACUGUAAGACUAGAGUUCAGGAGGGGAAGCUGGAAUUCCUGGUGUAGGGGUGAAAUCUGUAGAUAUCAGGAAGAACACCGAUGGCGAAGGCAAGCUUCUAGCCAUGGACUGACGCUGAGGCGCGAAAGCGUGGGGAGCGAACAGGAUUAGAUACCCUGGUAGUCCACGCUGUAAACGAUGUGCACUGGGUGUAGGGGGCGUUGAGCUCUCUGUGCCGUAGCUAACGCGUUAAGUGCACCGCCUGGGGAGUAUGCUCGCAAGGGUGAAACUCAAAGGAAUUGACGGGGGCCCGCACAAGCGGUGGAGCAUGUGGUUUAAUUCGAUACGCGAGGAACCUUACCAGGGCUUGACAUGUACUUGAAGGCUUAAGGGAUUAAGUUGACCCUUAGGGGACAGGUACACAGGUGCUGCAUGGCUGUCGUCAGCUCGUGUCGUGAGAUGUUGGGUUAAGUCCCGCAACGAGCGCAACCCUUACUGUCUGUUACCAGCAGGCCUUCGGGCGCUGGGGACUCAGGCAGAACUGCCGGUGACAAACCGGAGGAAGGUGGGGAUGACGUCAAAUCAUCAUGGCCCUUAUGUCCUGGGCUACACACGUGCUACAAUGGCAGGUACAAAGCGUUGCGAGACGGUGACGUCCUUAGCAAAUCGCAAAAAGCCUGUCUCAGUUCGGAUUGGAGUCUGAAACCCGACUCCAUGAAGUUGGAAUCGCUAGUAAUCGCGCAUCAGAAUGGCGCGGUGAAUAUGUUCCCGGGCCUUGUACACACCGCCCGUCACACCACCCGAGUUGGGGGUACCCGAAGUCGCUAGUC